CUGCUCUCAUGGAAUAUAUUUAUGUCCUUCACAUUGCAACUACAGCCCGAGUGAGGACCUCCCAGGAUACCUGCCCACAAACCUGCCCAGCGUGUAGUAUCCAACACAGAACAGAUUUGCAUUUUGAGGCCUAGAGAUGGGCUUGUGAAAGAGAUGUCCCUACAUGUGCUUCAGAUACCAAGGACUUUCAAAAUGGAAUGUUUUUAGACUUGAGAUCUGAUUUCUGCUACUCCCUUUCCUUGUAGAGCAAACACAAACUCCCACAAAGUCCAGGCAAGAGCUGGAAGGUUCCAACCAAAGUUAACAUCCAUUGUGCAGUCCAUUCAGGUAUAUGGGGCACGUCUGUCAUGCAAAACAGCCCAACCAUAAACCUGCAAGGAGGGAAAAUCAACCUGUGCCAGCUUCCUAUGUCUAGGCACAUUCCUCCAGGGCUGCAUGUGAACAAAUAAGCUAUGCCUCUUGCAUCUAGCCAACGCUGACCCCUCCUGCAUAGCGCCAUGCUUCAGAGCUCGGCUCUGACUGUACCUGCCAGCAAGGGCACACCCUGGGAGAGACAGUGCCUGCUGUCAGUUGUUGCUGCUGAGUGCAGGGACUUGGCCAAGGACACAGAGAAAAGGAGUGGAAGAGUAAGGGCUUGAACCUGGAUCCCAACCAAGUACGCUAUCCGCUUGUGACUGAGUGUUUCAACAACACAACCGUUUAUUUUUUUCCCAGGGAAAGCUCUGUCACUGCAGACUUGCCAUCGCCUUUCUGGCCUGUUGGAAGAGGGUAUUCUGCCAGGGAGCCAGCCUGACUCCUUCCCUUCUGUCUGAGGCAGGCUAGGAAAGCUCCCCUCGGCCUUUGAGCUGGUGCUCCAUGGCAGAUGCAGUCACAAAGAUGGAGAAAGGAAGAAAGGCUUCAGAGAAGUAUGGGAAUAACAGGAGGAAGAAAAAGUACCUAUUACUCUGUUUGUUCCAACUCCCUCACAUUCUGACUGUUUGCAGUGUGACUAAAAGAAAUAAGAAGAGUUUAAAAGUAAGCAACAAUUGAAGAGAGACAGUGUUUUCAGCAGCACAGUCAGCAUUGAGAGUGAGUCAGGGAUAGCUUCUCCUGCCUUCUCACAAACCUGUUUGGGAAUUAAAUAUUUUUUUCAAUGUUUCUAAUACCAAUUUAAAAUAAAUAAAUAAACAAAUCAGAAAGACUGAUAAAA
Molecule: long non-coding RNA, 1189 nt
Filed under: Anas platyrhynchos platyrhynchos (common mallard)
Lineage: Eukaryota; Metazoa; Chordata; Aves; Anseriformes; Anatidae
Description: lncRNA (ENSAPLG00000028462.1)
Source: RNAcentral